CCUACGGGCGGCACCAGUGGGGAAUAUUGCACAAUGGGCGCAAGCCUGAUGCAGCCAUGCCGCGUGUGUGAAGAAGGCCUUCGGGUUGUAAAGCACUUUCAGCGGGGAGGAAGGCGAUAAGGUUAAUAACCUUGUCGAUUGACGUUACCCGCAGAAGAAGCACCGGCUAACUCCGUGCCAGCAGCCGCGGUAAUACGGAGGGUGCAAGCGUUAAUCGGAAUUACUGGGCGUAAAGCGCACGCAGGCGGUCUGUCAAGUCGGAUGUGAAAUCCCCGGGCUUAACCUGGGAACUGCAUUCGAAACUGGCAGGCUAGAGUCUUAUAGAGGGGGGUAGAAUUCCAGGAGUAGCGGUGAAAUGCGUAGAGAUCUGGAGGAAUACCGGUGGCGAAGGCGGCCCCCUGGACAAAGACUGACGCUCAGGUGCGAAAGCGUGGGGAGCAAACAGGAUUAGAUACCCGGGUAGUC
RNAcentral lists this ribosomal RNA (465 nucleotides) under uncultured bacterium. RNAcentral's name for it is "bacterial SSU rRNA". It matches the Rfam family "Bacterial small subunit ribosomal RNA", at positions 338 to 795 of the family's 1533-position model. The record is from RNAcentral.